AUGUUGAAUAAGAAAGGUAGUCAUCGGAGUUUCUUCGAGCUUGAGAUUGAUCGAAGGAAGUCGUACAAAUUGCUUGAGUGAAGAGUUUGGUAAUUCGACACAAGUAUUAGAACACAGGUGAUGUUGGCAAGGAUUUCGUUAACUAGAGCUAGCAAGUUGACAUUCCAUGGUGAGCCCCGCACCACUGUAGUCAAAGGCACACUUUAAGCGCACUUAAGCCCUGAAGCGAGGCUCAAAAACGUGUUGAGCACUUUCCUCGCUUUAUGUGCACUUCAAUGUCGUCAUCAAGGUUCUAAGGCAAACUUUUCCUUGCCAAUGAGCCUCUUCUUAAGAAGUGACAGUACAACAACAACAUACCCAGUAUAAUCCCACUAAGUUGGGUCUAGGGAGGGUAGAGUGUA
Molecule: long non-coding RNA, 401 nt
Organism: Solanum dulcamara
Lineage: Eukaryota; Viridiplantae; Streptophyta; Magnoliopsida; Solanales; Solanaceae
Exons: 3
Source: RefSeq, a predicted model, not a curated record